Non-coding RNA from Schistosoma rodhaini, 45 nucleotides. The record is from Rfam. Lineage: Eukaryota; Metazoa; Platyhelminthes; Trematoda; Strigeidida; Schistosomatidae.
AUUCAACUGAGGAGUCCCAAGUGGGACGUAACACGGGUCCUGGAU